AGAAGCCAGUCCUGCCAGGGCUUGUGGGAGGGACAGGCCCCUGCAGAAAGCCUGUUCAAGACGAGGAUGAGGCACCUUCUGCAGGGGGUGCUCCCCAGGAAAGGCAAAGGACGGGAAGGUCCCCAGCACAGAGGCCCGCCUGCAGCAGCCACUGCCCGCAGCUGGGGGCCAGGCAGACGCAGAUCGGUGAUGGACAGCAGAGCUGCGGAGGCUCGCGUGCUCCAGACAGCUGCUGGCCCAGAGGAGGGCACAGCACUUCACCCGGGACUUCAUGCCCCAGAGGGAAACCCUUUCCUCCUGUGUGCGCCCAACACCAGCAUCGUUGCCUCUCCUCUCAUGGACAAGGACAACGACAACAGUGGUGACGGUGGGGUGGGCCGGUGGGGGACACAGAAGUGAUAAAUAGUGAUGGGAAAAAUGAUAAUAAAAUUUUUAAAACUUUC
This is a long non-coding RNA of Eptesicus fuscus (big brown bat), 443 nucleotides long. RefSeq lists it as uncharacterized. The record is from RefSeq and is a predicted model, not a curated record. NCBI's taxonomy places the organism in Eukaryota, Metazoa, Chordata, Mammalia, Chiroptera, Vespertilionidae. The transcript is spliced from 2 exons.